AACGAACGCUGGCGGCGUGGAUAAGACAUGCAAGUCGAACGGGAACUUCAGCUGUAGCAAUACAGUUGAAGUUUUUAGUGGCGAACGGGUGCGUAACACGUGGGCAAUCUGCCGAGAAGUGGGGGAUAGCUCGCCGAAAGGCGAAUUAAUACCGCAUAUGAUCAGCUAAGACAUCUUAGCGACAUCAAAGCCGGGGCAACCUGGCGCUUUUUGAGGAGCCCGCGGCCUAUCAGCUAGUUGGUGAGGUAACGGCUCACCAAGGCUAUGACGGGUAGCUGGUCUGAGAGGACGACCAGUCACACUGGAACUGAGACACGGUCCAGACACCUACGGGUGCAGCAGUCGAGAAUUUUUCUCAAUGGGGCAACCCUGAAGGAGCGACGCGCGUGGAGGAUGAAGGCUUUCGGUUGUAACU
Molecule: ribosomal RNA, 415 nt
Filed under: uncultured bacterium
Lineage: Bacteria
Description: bacterial SSU rRNA
Rfam family: Bacterial small subunit ribosomal RNA
Source: RNAcentral